Molecule: non-coding RNA, 494 nt
Filed under: Pongo abelii (Sumatran orangutan)
Lineage: Eukaryota; Metazoa; Chordata; Mammalia; Primates; Hominidae
Source: RNAcentral
GUCACACCUUCGUGAGCGGCCUCGGGCUCGCGGUUGAGGCUGAUUGAGGAAGUGGGUUCAGGCGGCCCGCCGUGCCUGGCACACGGUCAGAGUCCCCUGACAGGACUUUCCCCUUUCUCUGAGAUGACAUUCAGGCCGCUUUGCUUCGCACUGCCCUCAGAGAAGCAGUGUGCCCAGAAGUCAAGUAUGAGCUCUUGAGUCAAAAUGCUUGGAUUUGAAUUCCAACUCUGCUGCUUACCAGCUGUGUGACAUGGGGUGAGUGAGUUACUUGACCUCUCUGUACCUCUGUGUCAUCAUCUUUAAAAUGGAGCCCACAGCAACCAGGGAAAUAGUCUAACAGAAGCCUAGGAUGAAGAAUUUUGGGAAAGAAGAAACGUCCACCAAGGCCAAGUCCCUUUGUGUGUCAGUCUGCUUUCUCUCUCACACAUACAUGCACACAGGCUCGUACACACAGUCAAAGAUGUUAAGCAAAAUAUAAAGCUCCUCCACUGAUA